GGAAAUCUUCAGGGCAAGGUGCGAAAACGAUGGUUUUCAAUUCCUGACCGGCGGUAAAGUCCGCGAGCCUUCGGGCCGAACUGGUGAGAUUCCAGUACCGACAGUAUAGUCUGGAUGAAAGAAGAAGCGA
Molecule: non-coding RNA, 130 nt
Filed under: Pseudobutyrivibrio ruminis
Lineage: Bacteria; Bacillati; Bacillota; Clostridia; Lachnospirales; Lachnospiraceae
Description: FMN sequence
Rfam family: FMN riboswitch aptamer (RFN element)
About the family: The RFN element is a highly conserved domain that is found frequently in the 5'-untranslated regions of prokaryotic mRNAs that encode for flavin mononucleotide (FMN) biosynthesis and transport proteins.
Source: Rfam by way of RNAcentral